Non-coding RNA from Coturnix japonica (Japanese quail), 199 nucleotides. The record is from RefSeq and is a predicted model, not a curated record. Lineage: Eukaryota; Metazoa; Chordata; Aves; Galliformes; Phasianidae.
CACAGAGCUGAAUGCAGCGGCUGCAAGGAAAUGUUUCACAGAGAGGAUCCCAGAGCACUUUUCGUUCACCAACGCCAACGCUCAGCCCUGCAGAGAUAGAGGAGGAAUUAAGAGCUCUCCAGGAUAUUCCCUCCCAUCUGAGCCUGUGCGUGGAAGCUGAGUCUGCAGACCAUCCCACUCUUCAAAGAGAGUAACGAAA